AAGCAAAAAUUAAGUGUUUUCAGGGUUUUUUUCCCCCUCCCUUUGUUUUGUAUUAGCAGAUUCUUCAGUGUAUAGUGUUGGACACAGCGUGCUGAUUGGAAUCCUGUUCAAAGAUCGGAAAGGAACAGAGAGUUUCCCUUGUUUAACGACCAGACGCAGCAUCCUAUCAUCUGCCUACCCAGGUAUGACCUUUUAACUUGUUAGCAUAGUUUAACAAGCAGGCUGCUUCAACAAACUAAGAAGGCUUGAGAAAACUUCUCUAGCUCCUGGAGCACUUAAUUUUUCUGGGGCUACUUUCUGUUUUUGCAAUACUCCAACUUUUAAAAACUAGGAGCAUUUUAAAUAUUUUUUUUUUUUUUUAAAGCUUUCUGCAUCUGAUGGGAACUGCACUAUCCAUUGUCAAAGCAUCUUAGGCUCACUUUUGGCUUAGCAAGAACCUGCUUACAGCCCUCCUUGGAAAGGGCCUAAGAUGGUGAUGAUACAAAGGCAGAGCAUCUGAGAGAGGUGACAGUGAUCCUGCACUCUGCUCUGGUUUGUCAGGUCCUGCUGCUGCACUGAGUCAUACCACAGAAAAUAUGAGAAUGAUUUU
RNAcentral lists this long non-coding RNA (589 nucleotides) under Cyanistes caeruleus (blue tit). RNAcentral's name for it is "lncRNA (ENSCCEG00000009090.1)". The record is from RNAcentral. Lineage: Eukaryota; Metazoa; Chordata; Aves; Passeriformes; Paridae.